AUUGUUUUUAUGUAAAUGAUUAUUGUGCACCGUACCCAUAUUUUUAGGGACGCGAAUUGCAACUGAUAUUUUACAGUUUUUUCUUGCGAUGUGUUGUCCUUAAGGUUUCAAAUUGGUUCAUUUGGGAGGGUUGGGUUUAUGGCCACCACAUUGUUUAUGUGCCAAUGUCCAUUCUAAAGCCAGGAACAUGUAGUACAGUGGUUGUUGUUCAUAAUUCAUGUCGGUCAAGUUUUUUUCGUAAAUUAUUUUGUUAUCAAUAAGGCUGUUUAGUUUUGUUUGAUUUUUGUUUUUAAAUCUUAAUGGUCGGGGCAUUUAAUAGCCGACUAAAUAGUGUUUUUUUUUUCAUUUUUGGAGGCCGCUCGGUGGCCUUUAAAGACUUACUACCACGUCAUUGUAACUCUGGUUGGUACUUGUAUCAUUAGUGCUGGACCAUGGUCGAUCCUAUGCACCUUUGAGGCAGGCGGGAUAUUUUUG
RNAcentral lists this long non-coding RNA (474 nucleotides) under Mytilus galloprovincialis (Mediterranean mussel). The record is from RNAcentral. Lineage: Eukaryota; Metazoa; Mollusca; Bivalvia; Mytilida; Mytilidae.